RNAcentral lists this non-coding RNA (23 nucleotides) under Arabidopsis thaliana (thale cress). The record is from RNAcentral. Lineage: Eukaryota; Viridiplantae; Streptophyta; Magnoliopsida; Brassicales; Brassicaceae.
CCAAGGUAAGACGUUGCUCUCGU